ACGGGGGAUGCAAGCGUUAUCCGGAUUUAUUGGGUUUAAAGGGUGCGCAGGCUGAUCGGUAAGUCAUGGGUGAAAAGUCACUGCUUAACAGUGAUCGUGCCUAUGAUACUGCCGGACUAGAGUUUAAGAGGUGUAACUGGAAUGUGAUGUGUAGCGGUGAAAUGCUUAGAUAUGUCACAGAACGCCAAUCGUGAAGACAGGUUACAAACUUAAUACUGACGCUCAUGCACGAAAGCGUGGGGAUCAAACAG
RNAcentral lists this ribosomal RNA (251 nucleotides) under uncultured prokaryote. Its description in RNAcentral is "partial 16S rRNA". It matches the Rfam family "Bacterial small subunit ribosomal RNA", at positions 525 to 775 of the family's 1533-position model. The record is from RNAcentral.